ACGAACGCUGGCGGCGUGCUUAACACAUGCAAGUCGAACGGAAAGGCCCUGCUUUUGUGGGGUGCUCGAGUGGCGAACGGGUGAGUAACACGUGAGUAACCUGCCCUUGACUUUGGGAUAACUUCAGGAAACUGGGGCUAAUACCGGAUAGGAGCUCCUGCUGCAUGGUGGGGGUUGGAAAGUUUCGGCGGUUGGGGAUGGACUCGCGGCUUAUCAGCUUGUUGGUGGGGUAGUGGCUUACCAAGGCUUUGACGGGUAGCCGGCCUGAGAGGGUGACCGGCCACAUGGGGACGGAGGUACGGCCCAGGUCCCUACGGGGGGCAGCGGGGGGGAAUAUGGCACAAGGGGGGGAGGCCUGAUGCAGCAACGCCGGGGGGGGGAGGAGGGCCUUCGGGUGGUAACCCGCUUUCCCCUGGGACGAAGGGUGAGGGAGGGUAAUGGGUAAAGAAGCACCGGCUAACUACGG
Molecule: ribosomal RNA, 466 nt
Filed under: uncultured bacterium
Lineage: Bacteria
Description: partial 16S ribosomal RNA
Rfam family: Bacterial small subunit ribosomal RNA
Source: RNAcentral